This 361-nucleotide long non-coding RNA is filed under the name Sorghum bicolor (sorghum). RNAcentral's name for it is "long non-coding RNA (SBIC_LNC014584)". Lineage: Eukaryota; Viridiplantae; Streptophyta; Magnoliopsida; Poales; Poaceae. The record is from RNAcentral.
CAUUUGAUCAUCUCUCUCUGUUGUAAGUUCAGCUGCACGAAAACUGCAAGUGUGGGGGGGUCGCCCGACGCCCCAACUUCAUCUCUGAACUGCCGUGAGCAUGGAACAACACUGCAUACACCUCGGCACGUCAUGGCACCAAAAACAGGCGCGAUGAGGGGGUCGCCCGACCCCCUUUCUAUGGCAAAAGGAAACGACACAAGUGCAGAAAGACUUCCCGAGGGACGUAGAAUCGAGUGGCAGGGCCAGGAACCUCUAGGUGGGGUCGGCCGACCCUUCCAUGGAGCCCUGGGCCCACCAGGCAGCUUCUAUACGACGAAAGACAUCUUUCCUGCCCGGUUUGCUAAUUCUUCCCCCUCUC